Molecule: long non-coding RNA, 1046 nt
Organism: Papaver somniferum (opium poppy)
Lineage: Eukaryota; Viridiplantae; Streptophyta; Magnoliopsida; Ranunculales; Papaveraceae
Exons: 4
Source: RefSeq, a predicted model, not a curated record
CUGUAGAAAUAUAGAAUCGUUAGUAGAAAAUCGUGGAGGUAUUAAAACAAGGUAUUGAGUAAUUGAAAUUUUGAGGGAAAAAAAAAAAGCGAAUGAGUUUCAAUAAUUUGUCCUUAAUAUUGCUCUUUCAAAAAAAAAAAAACCAUAACUUUUUUAUUCAAAAUAUGUAAUGAUCCUCGAUAUAUUUUCUUGGAUCAAAAAUAUCACAAUAGGAAGAUUUGGAGAUAUAAAAAGAUAUGGUGGCUAUCUAAAAUUUUCAAUGGGAGGUGGUUAAUUCGUUUGGAGCUUUACGACGAUGAGAAAGACGAAUACGAGGUAUAAUGAAACAAUGAAUUGUGUUUUGUGAUUUUUUGUUAGUUUUGUUUACAGCAGCUGUUGGUGAUACCUUUUAUCGGUGUUUAUGGCAAAUUAGAGGAUCUGAAAAUAGAAGGGAACUCAUAUACAUGGAUGAUGGCUUAUGGGAUCGACAAUUGGGUGCACUCCCCAGAAGAGAUUACCAAUGCAGUUCUCAUAGGUUAUUAACUAACUUCCAAGUAUCAAGGGAAGUUACUCUUACUAAGGAAGGAAACGAAUAUCAGGAUAUAAAGUCUCUAAAUUGUCGAUGGACUUCCAGAUAAAGGUAUUAAUUGAAAGCUUAUGGUGGUAUUCAUGCUUAGCUCUUGAUUAUUUUUUUUUUCUACGGAUAUAUAUCCUUGAAUUCUUCGGCAUAGUUUGAUUCAGGGAGAUAGAAAGUUACAUGAGUUAAUCAUAAUAAUACAUGGAAAUAAGUACUUAAAUGUUGCAGAGAGUUCGAUCAUCCUGUGUUGCACAGCUUGUGUUUCUCCGGGUUUAUAUCGUAUAACAAAAAUUCGGCGGAGAAGAAAUUUAAUAUUAUUUGUGCUUAAAAAAAUCCCGGUGGAAGGUCACCACAUUGGUAUCAGAAAUACAAAUUUCCCGGAGAAUACCAAGAGUGGCACAUUAACUAUUAUGGAUUUUGUAAUCAGAAUAAUUUGAUUUUGUAAUUAGAAUAAUUUCGGUAUUGCAUUACAAUCAGAAGAUUUUAUUCA